RNAcentral lists this ribosomal RNA (131 nucleotides) under Artocarpus fretessii. Its description in RNAcentral is "5.8S ribosomal RNA". The stretch from base 9 to 125 matches the Rfam family "5.8S ribosomal RNA", at positions 40 to 154 of the family's 154-position model. From Rfam's summary of the family: 5.8S ribosomal RNA (5.8S rRNA) is a component of the large subunit of the eukaryotic ribosome. The record is from RNAcentral. Lineage: Eukaryota; Viridiplantae; Streptophyta; Magnoliopsida; Rosales; Moraceae.
UAACAACGAGAACGCAGCGAAAUGCGAUACUUGGUGUGAAUUGCAGAAUCCCGUGAACCAUCGAGUCUUUGAACGCAAGUUGCGCCCGAAGCCAUCCGGCCAAGGGCACGUCUGCCUGGGCGUCACACACC